RNAcentral lists this ribosomal RNA (171 nucleotides) under uncultured bacterium. RNAcentral's name for it is "partial 16S ribosomal RNA". It matches the Rfam family "Bacterial small subunit ribosomal RNA", at positions 337 to 525 of the family's 1533-position model. The record is from RNAcentral.
UCCUACGGGAGGCAGCAGUCGGGAAUUUUGCGCAAUGGGGGAAACCCUGACGCAGCAAUACCGCGUGUGGGAUGAAGGCCUUCGGGUCGUAAACCACUUUUUUCGGGGACGAUAAUGACGGUACCCGAAGAAUAAGCCACGGCUAACUACGUGCCAGCAGCCGCGGUAAUA